GAAAAACAAAUAUCAAGUUUUCACAGUCUUGAUGUGAAAAUCUUGGAUUUUUGGUGGAAAAAUCAUCCCCUUUCUGGAUACGAAGACCUCGGAUAUCGUCGCUUUUCGAUUCAGGACGAAGAUAAUCGCCUCGCGCGGCUUUCCCGGAGUUCAGGGGGUCGUCCUGGAAGUCAAGAGCCGCACACACGCGAGUAACCGAGCAUCCCCCGGGGGCGGGGUGAAGGAAAGGGCUGCUUUCGGACGUUUUUCCUCCUGACUUCGUCAGCAGACAGCUUUUCUAGACGGAUUCACGUUGAGUCGUAGCUCAUUAUUAUUUCAGGAUAAAAACACGAGAGCGAAUCUGCGAAGGGCCAGGAGUUUCUGUUCGCAUGGCGACUAAGUGCCCAUGCAGCCUGUUCCAAGGGAGAUGGAAAUUCGAGGAAGAGUCGUCGAGGGUUGUCUAACCGGGAGAGGCUUCGGCCGGGAGCGUCAUUAAUUUCCCGUUCGAAUGGACGAUAAUCCAU
This is a long non-coding RNA of Venturia canescens, 503 nucleotides long. RefSeq lists it as uncharacterized. Lineage: Eukaryota; Metazoa; Arthropoda; Insecta; Hymenoptera; Ichneumonidae. The record is from RefSeq and is a predicted model, not a curated record. The transcript is spliced from 3 exons.